CUUUUACCACCCGGCGUCACACAGAUCUUUAGCUCCUCUGCGGCAAUACGGCGCUAUUACACACAUUAUUUAUCACAUUUUACAAAAUCCAAGACAAAUACUCCUGAAUAUAGUGUUUCUAUAUCUAUUACAAAGUAGCGUACUUCUUCAUAACGAUAGAGACUCUUCUUGGAGCCUGAAAAGCCAACAGGACAAUGGCAGAUCAGCUGACUGAGGAGCAGAUUGCUGAGUUCAAGGAGGCCUUUUCACUCUUCGACAAAGAUGGUGAUGGCACUAUUACCACAAAAGAGUUGGGGACAGUCAUGCGCUCUCUUGGACAGAACCCCACUGAAGCUGAGCUGCAAGACAUGAUCAAUGAGGUGGAUGCUGAUGGUAACGGGACUAUUGAUUUCCCUGAGUUUCUGACCAUGAUGGCAAGGAAGAUGAAAGACACAGACAGUGAGGAGGAAAUCAGAGAAGCUUUCCGAGUUUUUGACAAGGAUGGAAAUGGUUACAUCAGUGCUGCAGAGUUACGGCAUGUCAUGACCAACCUUGGAGAGAAGCUGACUGACGAAGAGGUGGAUGAAAUGAUCCGUGAGGCUGACAUCGAUGGGGAUGGUCAGGUCAAUUAUGAAGGAGCCAUUCGUGGGUUUUCUAUUGGUUUCCUCAUGUAACUAAUGUACACGCGCUUUAACUCUGUGCACUACACUGCGGUGUCUGGGGGUGGCACGGUGGGUGUGGUGUGGCCUAUAUAUGAGCGCGCUCACCUGUUGAGUGUAAGGCCUUGGAUCAUGGUGGCGGGGUGAGCACGGGGAGCAACUUUCUGUUGACCGUAUUUUAACAGGAAAGAUUUGCACAUAGAAGGAAUCUGUGCAUGGCUACGCACGGAAGCAGCUUUAAAGUAAGUGCUCUAACGCGUAUGCCUACCAUUACGAACAAGUACCGUGUAUAUGUGCAUUUGUUCCGAGUUACGCGUCUACAGUGUUUUACCCCGUGUCUUAGCCCGCCGCGGCGUGUGGGAUAAGCAUUGGGCUACAUACGCCGCAAUAUUUUGUCAACAGAAAGGUUGUUGAAGCGUGGAUUUCAUCGUAUUGUCGUGCAACUAUCUGGAUGUUUUGGAUCGCUUUCGGAGUUGUGAACGAUAGACGUGAACGCGCAUGAAUUUCUCGUGAGCCCAUUCAUUCACAAAUUUGCUGUGCUACACAACGUCACAGCCACUUUGAUUAAAGGUACUGCAUGUUGUUGUAAAUAUUUUGGAUUGAAUGUUAAUCAUAUUCCCCGGCUAGGCUUUAGUGGUGCUUUCACAUAAGGUGAAGCACUUUCACGUUGUUCUGGGACCCGCUUAGGGCUUCGCUUGUGCGUCAAGCGGGUGAAGCAUUGCGCUUGGGAGUGCCGGUAGUUCUGGUUCUGAGACUGUUUGUCUGGUUCCAGUCUAUCGGUAUAUCCGAGGUACAACAACCCACCGCUAGUACGUGCAGAAGACUAGGGUUGAGUUAGCUUAGCUCCGGUGGAUAGUUAGGGGGAAUAAUUUCUUUCAGGAACUUGUACCGUUUUAAUAAAAUUUAUAAAAUUAUAAUAAAAAAAUAAAAUAAAUGGAAAUAAGACAAUAAAAUUAAAGCGCUGUGUUGUGUGUAAGUGCAGACUUUUGUGAUUAUUGUGAUUUUGUGAAUGAAAAUGGAGACUGAUUCCAGGUCAAAUGUUGGAAAUGAAACAAUCAAAACUCACUCCCAAAGCCUUGGAACAUAAAGUGGAAAAGCUUCAAGAUGAAAGAAAAGCAAAAGUGAAAAGGAUUAAAAGUUCAAUAAGAGACAUUACAGAGUUGAAGAAAAAUCCUGCAAAUGUUGAAAAGGUAAGAUUAUGUCUUGAGAUUGUGUCCAGUUUGUACAGUGAGGCCUGUCGGCUGCACGAUCUAGUUGUUCCCAUGCUCCCUCCUGAUGAACAAAAGAAGCAAAACCAAUGGUUUGAUAGUGUGGAGGAGCAUAAAAGUACCUUUGUGGAGGAGACAAAUAAAUGGAUCCUGGAGGUGCCAGCUAUUUCGGAUGUCACACAUAGACUGGAAGAGGGCGCCAUUGAACCAUCUUGUGCUCCAUCUGUAGAUCCUCCUCUGUCCAGUGGCAGUGGUGUAGGUGCACGAAGGGAUUUGCAAAAUGCGGCUGAGGAAAUCGGGCCGAGUGACAGUGUCUCUAAUGCAUCCAAUCAAUCAAAGAAGCGCAGCACACUGGUGAGUAAGUCCAAUAUGUCCUCCACGUCCUCUGCCAGACUGAAGGCUGAGGCUGAGACUGCCGCUCUUAUGGCUCGGCAGAGGCUUCUGAGGGAGAAGCAUGCUCUGGAGGAGCAGCAGGAGCAGCUGCGCAGGAAAAUGGAGGAGCAGCAGGAGCUGUUGCGGAGGAAGAAAGAGGAGCUUGAUCUGGACAUGGAGCUGGCUGCCUCUAUGGCCAGAAUAAGUGUAUUUAAGGCCUCAGAAGGAUCUCACAUUUCUGUUACAUCGGAUGGGAUGAAUUCCUAUUUGAAGAGAACCAAGACUGUUCAGUUAAAUGUAGAUGCUGCUACAUUUGUGCCUGCAUUUACCACCCAGUCAUCACAGACGGAGCCCGCGGGGUGCUCUGCUUUCAGGUUCUGCUGCUACAAAGCCUAAGGUGAGUUACCAGGUUGAGCUCCAAACUGCUGUUAGUGGGGCCGGUCUGUCAGUGCUACCCAGCAGUGAAGUAUAUCGAGAUGUUCCAUUCACCCAGCUUGAUCCACCCACACUUACAACAGAGAACACAUCUGAUCAGCGUUUACUUACGGUUCUAGAGAAAGAAAAUGAGAUCACAUCCUUGUUGGUUGAACAACAGUCGCUCUUUCUCUUGCCCAAGAGGGACUUGCAUACCUUCGACGGAGAUCCUUUACAAUAUCAGACCUUCAUUAGCGCUUUUGAGCAUAAUAUCGAAGCCAAAACUCAAAACCACAAAGACCGUCUAUAUUAUCUUGAACAGUAUACUCGAGGUCAGCCCAGGGAUUUGGUCUGAAGCUAUCAACACCUGCCUCCUGCUUGUGGCUACAUCCAAGCUAAGAGUCUGCUUCAAGAACAUUUUGGUGACCCUUUCAAAGUUGCAUUGGCAUACAUGGGAAGGGUGCUUGCCUGGCCUGUGGUGAAAGGUGAGGACGUAAAGGCGCUUCAGGCCUUCAGUUUCUUGCUCAAUGAGUGCUGCAAUUCAAUGGGAGAGUGUAUGGGUGACCUGAAUGUUCCUACUAACAUGCAAACAAUUAUCAAGAAGUUACCGUAUAAGCUCAGGGACCGUUGGAGAAAUGUGGCCUGUGAUAUUCAGGAAAAGUUUUGUCGUAGAGCCACAUUCAAUGAUAUUGUAAAUUUUGUCGAGAGACAAGUGAAGAUCGCAAGUGACCCUCUGUUUGGGGACAUACAGGACUCCCCAGGGACAGUAAAAGGGGACUUCAAACCUGUGACUCCUCGGACCAGUCUAAAACCCAAAGGUAGUAGUUUUGCCACUACAGUAAUGCCGACAGAAAGAGAUGACUCUCUGAAUAAAGGAGAGAACCUACCUGUAAAAAUUUGCUUAUUUUGUGGAGCUGGUCAUGCUUUGGAUGUUUGCCUUCUGUUGGAUAAGAAGACUCAAGAUGAAAAGAUGUCUCUUGUGAAGGAAAACAAAUUGUGCUUUGGUUGUUUGUGCAUUGGGCACAGAAGUCGAGAUUGCAGGAAGCGUCUGACAUGUAGAGUGUGCAAUUGUAACCACCCCACAUUGUUGCAUGUUCAGUCCAGAUCUAGACAAGGUAGUUUGUCACAGGCAAGUAGCUGUUCAGAGGAGGCCAGAGAAGGCGCUGUGGUGUCUGUUCAAUCUAGUGGGUUAACUGGGGCUGGAAAACAGGACUGUACCUUGUCAAUCCUGCCUGUACAGGUGAAGUCCAAAAGAGGGCAUGAGACUUUGCUGACAUAUGCGUUUUUAGAUCCAGGGAGCACUGCUUCAUUUUGCACGGAGCGGCUCAUGAACAGACUCAACCUCAGUGGGAAGAAGUUGGGAAUUCUCCUCCGGACAAUGGGACAGGAGAAGGUGGUAGACAGUUACACGCUAACCGACCUGGAAGUAGCUGGACUUGGCUCUGACCGUUUUUGUGACUUGCCAGAAAUCUUCACUCAACAGAGCAUGCCUGUUCACAGGGGAAACAUUCCAUAUACGAAGGACCUUUGACGAUGGCCACACUUAAAUCACAUAAACAUCCCGGAGAUCAAGGCAGAAGUGGAUCUUCUGAUUGGGACCAAUGUACCUCAGGCACUGGAGCCGUGGGAGGUUGUGCGAGCAGAGGGUGGAGGUCCUUAUGCCAUUAAAACCAUCCUUGGUUAGACCGUGAAUGGCCCGCUAAGAGGAGUAUGUCAUGCCAGUGGGGAGGAUCUCGGUGGCAAAGUUGGAUGAACUUUGGGAAAAACAGCUAAAGGUUGACUUCCCUGAAACAAAACAGGAAGAACAACUUGGCCUAUCUAAAGAAGAUGAACAAAUUUAUGGAGUCUGUCUCUGAGUCAGUCAGGUUGGUGAAUGGCCAUUAUUGCAUUGCUUUGCCCAUGAGAGAAAAAGCCCUCAACAUGCUGAACAAUAAAACCGUUGCAGAACAGUGUGCGCAGAGUCUUGAAAAAUGUUUGACCAAAGAUUUGUCUCUUUGUCGUGAUUAUGUUACAUUCAUGUCAGGGAUGCUUGCCAAUGGUUACGCUGAGCGAGUUCCAUCUGACCAGUUGGCUCGUCAUGAUAUGAGGGUGUGGUACAUACCUCACCAUGGUGUGUACUACCCUCAAAACAAAAAGCUGCGGGUAGUCUUUGACUGCGGAGCCACUUUUCAAGGCACCUGUUUGAACUCCCAACUGCUUCAGCGUCCUGACCUUACUAGUCUGUUGGUUAAUGUUCUCACCAGAUUUCAUAAGGAACCUGUUGUGCUUAUGGCUGAUGUUGAGGCCAUGUUUCACCAGGUCCGGGUACCAGCUGAAGACUGUGAUUUGUUGAGAUUCCUGUGGUGGCCUGACAGAGACUGCAGUCAGGAGCUCGCGGAGUACCGAAUGGUAGCACAUGUGUUUGGUGCUACGUCCUCUCCUAGCUGUGCCUCUUUUGCUCUUCGGAGGUGUGCUGAGGAUAAUCAUGACCAUUUCAGUCCUGCGGCUGUCAAUACUCUGUUGCACCAUUUUUAUGUUGAUGAUUGCUUGGUGUCUGUUGCCUCUGAAGCGGAAGCAAUGUCUUUAUGUCAAGAACUUGGAGCUUUGUGUGCCAAAGGUGGGUUUAAGCUUACGAAAUGGGUCAGUAAUCGGCACUCAGUUCUUUCUGCUGAAAAGAGAGCCAAAGAAGUAAAAGAUCUAGAUUUAGACAGUGAUGUCUUGCCUAUAGAGUGAGCUUUGGGCGUGCAGUGGUGCGUGGAGUCUGACUUGUUUAAGUUCAAGAUCACACUCAAAAAUCAUCCGCUGACGAGAAGAGGAAUCCUGUCAGUCAUCCGUUCAGUUUACAAUCCUCUGCCUCCUUCAGUGGCUAGAGAUUGGUUGGCCUGGCUGGAAGAUAUGCAUCUCCUUGAACACUGGGAGGUCAGUAGAUGCUUGAAACCUAUGAACUUUGGUGAUCUUGCUUCUGCGCAGCUGCACCACUUUGCGGAUGCAAGUGAGGAGGGUUUUGGAACCGUGACCUAUCUGUUACUCUGUGACAUCAGUGGCAGAGCUUACUGCACAUUUGUGAUGGGCAAGGCACAUGUGGCUCCACUCAAACCUGUUACCAUCCCUCGUAUGGAGUUGACAGCUGCGGUGGUGGCCAGCAGGAUGGACAAGCUGUGGAAAAGGGAACUGAAGGUCCAGGUGGCAAACAUUAAAAGUAAAGUGUCUCAGGACUAGCUGUCAGCGGAAGAGCAGUGACCACUAUGGACUCUAUUUCUUUUUGUGGUUUAGUAUGGUUUCUCUUCUGUCUCCUACAAGUAGUUGGUGGUGGUUAAUUAUUACUAGUUAAUAAUUAGGGGCCGGUAUGUAGGAGCCAUUCGUGGGUUUGCUAUUGGUUUCCUCACUAAUGUGCACGCGCUUUAACUCUGUGCACUACACUGCGGUGUCUGGGGGUGGCACGGUGGGUGUGGUGUGGCCUAUAUAUGAGCGCGCUCACCUGUUGAGUGUAAGGCCUUGGAUCAUGGUGGCGGGGUGAGCACGGGGAGCAACUUUCUGUUGACCGUAUUUUAACAGGAAAGAUUUGCGCAUAGAAGGAAUCGGUGCAUGGCUACGGACGGCAGCAGCUUUAAAAGUUUGUCCAAAUGAUGACCGCCAAGUGAGAAGAGCAUUGGCAUUUCUCUCCAUGUUGCUUGUCCUCUCGAGAUUGUCUUUUAAAUCAAAAAGGACCCCUAACAUUUACAAGUUUAGUAAUGUGCAAUUUAUCUUUUACAGCUAAUUUUAAGGUCUCUGUUUAGCAAACAACAGAAUAGGGAAACAAAUGGACCAAGUUUUAAGAGGGUUGAAGCCCUGUACUUCAGACCAAGAUUCUCCUGAAUUAUUUAGAGGAAAUAGCAACUGAAAAGACAGAGAAAGUCCCAGGCCACAGUUCCUACAGAACAGCUGGUCAUCCACCUCUUUGCAAUAUCAAUACAGAAUAUAGACUUUGUUGCACCAGUGGCAGUAGUGAUUAUUCUCAUCCUAAAUUGGGUUCUUGUACUCUUCUUGCAUGCACCCUUUCUGUGGCGGUCUCUUGUCACGAGGUGGUUCGGAGCCCGUCAGAACUAGUGGUCAGAUUGUGUACACUCUGCAGGUAUAUACAUUACUAUAUAGCUAUAUCUGUAAAAUACAUCUAACUAUUGAGUGUUGCAAGAGCAAAUAUGUUUUAGGGUGUUUGUGGGUGCUCAGUUGAAAGUGAGCACUGUUUGGACAGACCCAUAUCUGCACAGUGCUGUCUGUCAUUCCCUCUGUGGGAUGUUUUCUGGCUUCUUGUUGAGCGUUGGGUUUUGGAUGUUGCAGCACUAAUUGGAGGCAGUUAUGUGAAUUGUGUCAGGGUGUUUGUUGUGGAAACAAACCAGGACUGCAGUUAAUACUUUUGUUCUGCAAACAGAUAUCCUAAUAAUAUAAUAUUGAUGUACUGCUUUAUAACUGUGUUCUAAAUAUAUUAUCUAUUCAUGACAAACUUUGGUCACAAUAUAUAUCUUGAUAUAUUAGUGUAUUGUAAAGUUUGCCUGUUGUAGUAAAAUAAUACCUGUGAUCAGUUUUUCUUUUGUUUUGAAAUGUGCCAUAAUCCUCAGAAAUGUCUCAAUAUUCUGCAGGAACUGUAGUUAAUUUAAAUAUUAUAAAUAAAAUCCAGUAAAAUAUUAAUUUGCACUACGAGCUAAAUGGAUAUUAAAAUGGUUUUGUCCUAAAAUACUUUAUUGUUGCUGUUGAGGUAACUCUUCAUAUUUUUAUUUUUUGUGUCCAAGUUUUUUGUCAAGUGACUUUGUCUGCUUGCUGUUUAUUUCUCAUGAGAGCACAUACUGUUUAAUCUGUUCUACUGUCCAGGGGUGAUCUUUGGGCUAUGCAGUAGAAAUGGGGUUGCAGUGAAGUUCAGCAUUACAGAUAUUGGCCAUUAUAUUGUAAACCAAAUGUUGGCUAGUAGGGUCACCGUAUGGGAGGCUUUUCAGUCUUCAAAAUUUGAAAGUAAGUUAUUAAGGACUGUUAAGGCAGUCUGUAUUUUUUCCAUAUGCACCAAUAAAUUGACCGAGCUUUACUUCACCUACGUAUAUUUCUCCAUCAUGCUUAACCAAAAGUGCAUGUCUUCAGUACUCUGUUACAAGUGUUGCUUUGAAAUGAAUGAAAAUAAAUUAAAGUGUGCUGAAAA
Boleophthalmus pectinirostris (great blue-spotted mudskipper) is the source of this 7775-nucleotide RNA transcript. It is a transcript of the gene named calmodulin 3a (phosphorylase kinase, delta), with no coding region annotated. The record is from RefSeq and is a predicted model, not a curated record. The transcript has 7 exons. Lineage: Eukaryota; Metazoa; Chordata; Actinopteri; Gobiiformes; Gobiidae.